CCUACGGGAGGCAGCAGUGGGGGAUAUUGCACAAUGGGGGAAACCCUGAUGCAGCGACGCCGCGUGGGUGAAGAAGCGCCUCGGCGCGUAAAGCCCUGUCAGCAGGGAAGAAAAUGACGGUACCUGAAGAAGAAGCCCCGGCUAACUACGUGCCAGCAGCCGCGGUAAUACGUAGGGGGCAAGCGUUAUCCGGAUUUACUGGGCGUAAAGGGGGCGGAGACGGCGAUGCAAGCCAGGAGUGAACGCCCGGGGCCCAACCCCGGGACUGCUCUUGGAACUGCGUGGCUAGAGUGCAGGAGGGGCAGGCGGAAUGCCUGGUGUAGCGGUGAAAUGCGUAGAUAUCAGGAGGAACACCGGUGGCGAAGGCGGCCUGCUGGACUGCAACUGACGUUGAGGCCCGAAAGCGUGGGGAGCAAACAGGAUUAGAUACCCUGGUAGUC
RNAcentral lists this ribosomal RNA (440 nucleotides) under uncultured bacterium. RNAcentral describes it as "partial 16S ribosomal RNA". It matches the Rfam family "Bacterial small subunit ribosomal RNA", at positions 338 to 795 of the family's 1533-position model. The record is from RNAcentral.